This is a long non-coding RNA of Zonotrichia leucophrys gambelii, 377 nucleotides long. RefSeq lists it as uncharacterized. Lineage: Eukaryota; Metazoa; Chordata; Aves; Passeriformes; Passerellidae. The transcript is spliced from 4 exons. The record is from RefSeq and is a predicted model, not a curated record.
GUUUGCUGGCUGUGCUGUAGGAGAAGUCAGUGCUGUGAGGAACUGCCUAUGAGAAAUUGCUGAGGAGGAGCAGCCUGAAAGGACAGGUAACAGCAUCCCGGAGUUAUCUUGACAUUUGAAGUUAUGUAUUGAGGAAUCGUACAGCUUGAUAGCAAGAUUGCAAUGGUACAGGCACCAGCUUUGGUUGUGGUCAGGGUAAAGAAUCAGUUAUCCACCUGGGAAAGCAAAUGUUGUGAAGUGAGCCAUGUGGAUCGAGAGAGGAAAAAAGACUGGGUAGUAUUUUCUGAGAAUGACAUAAAUUGUGUGUUAUUACAUCAUCAGAUGUCAAUGGGCAGAGCUGCUGAGUGUAAGAAAGUGAGGAUUUUCUGAGAGGUGAG